AACGAACGCUGGCGGCAUGCCUAACACAUGCAAGUCGAACGAGACCUUCGGGUCUAGUGUCGCACGGGUGCGUAACGCGUGGUAACCUGCCCUUAGGUUCGGAAUAACUCCCCGACAGGGGUGCUAAUACCGGAUAAUGUCUUCGGACCAAAGAUUUAUCGCCUUUGGUUGGGCCCGCGUUGGAUUAGCUAGUUGGUAGGGUAAAAGCCUACCAAGGCGACGAUCCAUAGCUGGUCUGAGAGGAUGAUCAGGCACACUGGGACUGAGACACGGACGAGACUCCUACGGGAGGCAGAAGGUGGGAAUAUUGGACAAUGGGCGAGAGAAUGAUCCAGCAAUGCCGCGUGAGUGAUGAAGGCCUUAGGGUUGUAAAGCUCUUUUAACAGGGAUGAUAAUGACAGUACCGGGAGAAUAAGAGCCGGCUAACUACGUG
This 433-nucleotide ribosomal RNA is filed under the name uncultured bacterium. RNAcentral's name for it is "partial 16S ribosomal RNA". It matches the Rfam family "Bacterial small subunit ribosomal RNA", at positions 29 to 507 of the family's 1533-position model. The record is from RNAcentral.